Molecule: long non-coding RNA, 1604 nt
Filed under: Monodelphis domestica (gray short-tailed opossum)
Lineage: Eukaryota; Metazoa; Chordata; Mammalia; Didelphimorphia; Didelphidae
Description: lncRNA (ENSMODG00000032515.2)
Source: RNAcentral
ACUCCUAGAUAGAUUACAUCUUCAUGAGGUUUCAGGAGGAUCAAAUCUGGCAUCAGAUACUUCCUAGCUCUGUGACCCUGGGCAAGUCACUUAAUCCCAGUUACCUAGCCCUUACCUCUCUUCUGCCUUGGAACUGAUAUUAAUUCUAAGACAUAAAGUUAUGGGUUUAAAAAAUAUUUCAUGAGAUCAAUGAUUUUGUCUUAAUCUAAACUGUCUCUUUCUCUUUCACUGUCUAGCACAGGGUUCUAUAUACAGUAGGCAUCUAAUAAAUGUUUAUUAAUUUAAAUUCUAGGGACACAUUUCCACAAACCUAGAAGCCCUGAUCCAGAAAUAAGUUGGGGGGAAAGAGGUUCUAGACAGGCUGAGAAAUUUUUCAGCUCUUGCUUAAUGCAGAAGUCUGAAUAUUGGAGAGUUAAAGUGCUAUAAAGAAAAGGACACAAAAUCUAGAGUCAGUCUUUUUAUUCCAAUGCCAGCUAUGUUACUUCUGAGCAGUAGGACAAGCCAUUUAAUCUCUCACGGUUUUAGUUUCCUCAUUUAUAAAAUGAUGGGUCUAGACUAGAUGAUCUCCAAGAUCCCUUCCAGUGCGAAAUCUGUGAUUUUAUGACUAGAAUCUCUUUGUAAAGAAUAUUGAGGAGAGGGUUCAUUAAAAAGGGGGAAACCAGAAAAGUUCAGGCCUGGUUUCCAUUAAGUUAUGGAGUCAUCAUGUAACUUGACCUUUAGUUUGUGAUUCAAUCCCUAGAAGCUUCCUUGUAGCAGACCCUGUGAUUUUCUUGGUCCUGGACUUCCUUUCUAUAAGCAGGGUGCUAGUUUCAACCUGUCUAUAACUUACAGUCUUAGAGAGUUACCAGAGCUUCAAAACUGUGUGUUGUUAAGUCCUAGACAAAUGGGAACUUCUGUCUUCUACAGGAAACUAGGAGAAAGAACUAAAGGCAAAAAAUUAGGGUGAGAAGCGGACAUGAACCAAGAGCUGGCCCAAGUCAAAAAGGAACACCUUCUCCCUUCAGGACCAACAUACAACAGUAGCCCUGAACACACAAUCCUAUCACUGGAGCAGUCUUUUCAAGGGGUGAGGACCCAGGAAGAGAAAUGGGACUUCACAAAUGUCAUAGAUGGAAAACACAGAAGCCAAGUUGGGAUUUGAAUUGAGACUUUCGACUAUACCACUGCCUAAUUUAUUGUGGCAAUUAUUAAAAUAUAGAUUGAUAUUAACAUUUAGUGUACCAUCUAAGCCACCCAAGUGAUUAUCAUAGAUUAAUUAUUUGAGCAAUAACAGCGAUUCAUCUUCGUCAUUAUCAUCAUACUUAAAUGAUAAUGAUUUCUAAUGCAUAAUCAUCUGUAUUCUCCAAAUAAUAAGAGUAUCACUAGCCUAUUAUGGUGAAGAUAAUAACUAAUAAUGGAAUCAUAAUUAUUCCUAAUUGUGGCUCAUUAUUGGUAUCAGGAUCUCCCACUCACCCCAAGUCAUCAAAACGUAGGCUAAAGAAAACCUUCUGGAAGUAGAUGGAGAGGUAAAUGGCCUGCAAUCAACCAUUCCAUAAAACUAGCAUCCUCUGCAUUUGAUUUUAUGUCUCUGAAUAAAGUCAAAUUUGCCCUUUGGGGGUGAUUCA